GUGGGGAAUAUUGGACAAUGGGCGAAAGCCUGAUCCAGCCAUGCCGCGUGUGUGAAGAAGGUCUUCGGAUUGUAAAGCACUUUAAGUUGGGAGGAAGGGCAGUAAGUUAAUACCUUGCUGUUUUGACGUUACCGACAGAAUAAGCACCGGCUAACUUCGUGCCAGCAGCCGCGGUAAUACGAAGGGUGCAAGCGUUAAUCGGAAUUACUGGGCGUAAAGCGCGCGUAUGUGGUUUUGUAAGUUGGAGGUGAAAUCCCCGGGCUCAACCUGGGAACUGCCUCCAAAACUGCAUGACUAGAGUGCGGUAGAGGGUAGUGGAAUUUCCUGUGUAGCGGUGAAAUGCGUAGAUAUAGGAAGGAACACCAGUGGCGAAGGCGACUACCUGGACUGAUACUGACACUGAGGUGCGAAAGCGUGGGGAGCAAACAGGAUUAGAUACCCGAGUAGUCC
Molecule: ribosomal RNA, 450 nt
Filed under: uncultured bacterium
Lineage: Bacteria
Description: partial 16S ribosomal RNA
Rfam family: Bacterial small subunit ribosomal RNA
Source: RNAcentral